Molecule: ribosomal RNA, 3087 nt
Filed under: Salmonella enterica subsp. enterica serovar Infantis
Lineage: Bacteria; Pseudomonadati; Pseudomonadota; Gammaproteobacteria; Enterobacterales; Enterobacteriaceae
Description: bacterial LSU rRNA
Rfam family: Bacterial large subunit ribosomal RNA
Source: RNAcentral
UUAAGCGACUAAGCGUACACGGUGGAUGCCCUGGCAGUCAGAGGCGAUGAAGGGCGUGCUAAUCUGCGAUAAGCGCCGGUAAGGUGAUAUGAACCGUUAUAACCGGCGAUACCCGAAUGGGGAAACCCAGUGUGACUCGUCACACUAUCAUUAACUGAAUCCAUAGGUUAAUGAGGCGAACCGGGGGAACUGAAACAUCUAAGUACCCCGAGGAAAAGAAAUCAACCGAGAUUCCCCCAGUAGCGGCGAGCGAACGGGGAGGAGCCCAGAGCCUGAAUCAGCAUGUGUGUUAGUGGAAGCGUCUGGAAAGGCGCGCGAUACAGGGUGACAGCCCCGUACACAAAAGCGCAUGUGCUGUGAGCUCGAUGAGUAGGGCGGGACACGUGGUAUCCUGUCUGAAUAUGGGGGGACCAUCCUCCAAGGCUAAAUACUCCUGACUGACCGAUAGUGAACCAGUACCGUGAGGGAAAGGCGAAAAGAACCCCGGCGAGGGGAGUGAAAAAGAACCUGAAACCGUGUACGUACAAGCAGUGGGAGCCCCACCACCAAAGCAUUCUCUGGUGUUGAAGGCCCUGCAAAGCAGCAUCGCGGUGGCGGAGCGUCGUUUGCGACGCCCAACACACAAAACAAGCGGUGAGUGCUUUGGGGUGGGGUGACUGCGUACCUUUUGUAUAAUGGGUCAGCGACUUAUAUUCUGUAGCAAGGUUAACCGAAUAGGGGAGCCGGAGGGAAACCGAGUCUUAAUUGGGCGUUAAGUUGCAGGGUAUAGACCCGAAACCCGGUGAUCUAGCCAUGGGCAGGUUGAAGGUUGGGUAACACUAACUGGAGGACCGAACCGACUAAUGUUGAAAAAUUAGCGGAUGACCUGUGGCUGGGGGUGAAAGGCCAAUCAAACCGGGAGAUAGCUGGUUCUCCCCGAAAGCUAUUUAGGUAGCGCCUCGUGAAUUCAUCUCCGGGGGUAGAGCACUGUUUCGGCUAGGGGGCCAUCCCGGCUUACCAACCCGAUGCAAACUGCGAAUACCGGAGAAUGUUAUCACGGGAGACACACGGCGGGUGCUAACGUCCGUCGUGAAGAGGGAAACAACCCAGACCGCCAGCUAAGGUCCCAAAGUCAUGGUUAAGUGGGAAACGAUGUGGGAAGGCCCAGACAGCCAGGAUGUUGGCUUAGAAGCAGCCAUCAUUUAAAGAAAGCGUAAUAGCUCACUGGUCGAGUCGGCCUGCGCGGAAGAUGUAACGGGGCUAAACCAUGCACCGAAGCUGCGGCAGCGAACGUAUCACUUAAAGCGAUUCAGCGGGUUACGAUUGACGGAGCGAAGCGACGUCAAAGCGUAUACAAAGUCGAGUCGGUUUAAGGAUACGUUCGUUGGGUAGGGGAGCGUUCUGUAAGCCUGUGAAGGUGUGUCGUGAGGCAUGCUGGAGGUAUCAGAAGUGCGAAUGCUGACAUAAGUAACGAUAAAGCGGGUGAAAAGCCCGCUCGCCGGAAGACCAAGGGUUCCUGUCCAACGUUAAUCGGGGCAGGGUGAGUCGACCCCUAAGGCGAGGCCGAAAGGCGUAGUCGAUGGGAAACGGGUUAAUAUUCCCGUACUUGGUGUUACUGCGAAGGGGGGACGGAGAAGGCUAUGUUGGCCGGGCGACGGUUGUCCCGGUUUAAGCGUGUAGGUGUGUGUUCCAGGUAAAUCCGGUUCACUUUAACACUGAGGCGUGAUGACGAGGCACUACGGUGCUGAAGCAACAAAUGCCCUGCUUCCAGGAAAAGCCUCUAAGCAUCAGGUAACAUCAAAUCGUACCCCAAACCGACACAGGUGGUCAGGUAGAGAAUACCAAGGCGCUUGAGAGAACUCGGGUGAAGGAACUAGGCAAAAUGGUGCCGUAACUUCGGGAGAAGGCACGCUGACACGUAGGUGAAGUGAUUUACUCAUGGAGCUGAAGUCAGUCGAAGAUACCAGCUGGCUGCAACUGUUUAUUAAAAACACAGCACUGUGCAAACACGAAAGUGGACGUAUACGGUGUGACGCCUGCCCGGUGCCGGAAGGUUAAUUGAUGGGGUCAGCGCAAGCGAAGCUCCUGAUCGAAGCCCCGGUAAACGGCGGCCGUAACUAUAACGGUCCUAAGGUAGCGAAAUUCCUUGUCGGGUAAGUUCCGACCUGCACGAAUGGCGUAAUGAUGGCCAGGCUGUCUCCACCCGAGACUCAGUGAAAUUGAACUCGCUGUGAAGAUGCAGUGUACCCGCGGCAAGACGGAAAGACCCCGUGAACCUUUACUAUAGCUUGACACUGAACAUUGAGCCUUGAUGUGUAGGAUAGGUGGGAGGCUUUGAAGCGUGGACGCCAGUCUGCGUGGAGCCGACCUUGAAAUACCACCCUUUAAUGUUUGAUGUUCUAACGUGGACCCGUAAUCCGGGUUGCGGACAGUGUCUGGUGGGUAGUUUGACUGGGGCGGUCUCCUCCUAAAGAGUAACGGAGGAGCACGAAGGUUGGCUAAUCCUGGUCGGACAUCAGGAGGUUAGUGCAAUGGCAUAAGCCAGCUUGACUGCGAGCGUGACGGCGCGAGCAGGUGCGAAAGCAGGUCAUAGUGAUCCGGUGGUUCUGAAUGGAAGGGCCAUCGCUCAACGGAUAAAAGGUACUCCGGGGAUAACAGGCUGAUACCGCCCAAGAGUUCAUAUCGACGGCGGUGUUUGGCACCUCGAUGUCGGCUCAUCACAUCCUGGGGCUGAAGUAGGUCCCAAGGGUAUGGCUGUUCGCCAUUUAAAGUGGUACGCGAGCUGGGUUUAGAACGUCGUGAGACAGUUCGGUCCCUAUCUGCCGUGGGCGCUGGAGAACUGAGGGGGGCUGCUCCUAGUACGAGAGGACCGGAGUGGACGCAUCACUGGUGUUCGGGUUGUCAUGCCAAUGGCACUGCCCGGUAGCUAAAUGCGGAAGAGAUAAGUGCUGAAAGCAUCUAAGCACGAAACUUGCCCCGAGAUGAGUUCUCCCUGAGACUUAGAGUCUCCUGAAGGAACGUUGAAGACGACGACGUUGAUAGGCCGGGUGUGUAAGCGCAGCGAUGCGUUGAGCUAACCGGUACUAAUGAACCGUGAGGCUUAACCUU